CAAUAGCGUAUAUUAAAGUUGUUGCAGUUAAAAAGCUCGUAGUUGGAUUUCUGGUUGAAGCGACCGGUCGGGCGUUGAUUCGUCUGCACUGGAGUCGGUUUUGGCCAUCCUCUAGGAAAGUGCGUCUGGUAUUAAGUUAUCGGGCGUAUGAUCCUAGUCUUUUACUGUGAAAAAAUUAGAGUGUUUAAAGCAGGCCUUCGCCUUGAAUACAUUAGCAUGGAAUAAUAAGAUAGGACUUUGGUCUAUUUUGCUGGUUUGCAGACCGAAGUAAUGAUUAAUAGGGAUAGUUGGGGGUAUUUAUAUUCCGAUGUCAGAGGUGAAAUUCUUAGAUUUUCGGAAGAUAAACUUAUGCGAAAGCAUUUACCAAGGAUGUUUUCAUUAA
Molecule: ribosomal RNA, 382 nt
Filed under: uncultured eukaryote
Lineage: Eukaryota
Description: partial 18S ribosomal RNA
Rfam family: Eukaryotic small subunit ribosomal RNA
Source: RNAcentral